AUUGAACGCUGGCGGAAUGCUUUACACAUGCAAGUCGAACGGCAGCACGGACUUCGGUCUGGUGGCGAGUGGCGAACGGGUGAGUAAUGUAUCGGAACGUGCCCAGUCGUGGGGGAUAACGUAGUGAAAAUUACGCUAAUACCGCAUACGAUCUAUGGAUGAAAGAGGGGGACCGCAAGACCUCGCGCGAUUGGAGCGGCCGAUAUCAGAUUAGGUAGUUGGUGGGGUAAAGGCCCACCAAGCCAACGAUCUGUAGCUGGUCUGAGAGGACGACCAGCCACACUGGAACUGAGACACGGUCCAGACUCCUACGGGAGGCAGCAGUGGGGAAUUUUGGACAAUGGGCGAAAGCCUGACCCAGCCAUUCCGCGUGCAGGAUGAAGGCCCUCGGGUUGUAAACUGCUUUUGUACAGAGCGAAAAGGUUUCUACUAAUACUAGGAGCUCAUGACGGUACUGUAAGAAUAAGCACCGGCUAACUACGUGCCAGCCGCCGCGGUAA
RNAcentral lists this ribosomal RNA (500 nucleotides) under uncultured bacterium. RNAcentral's name for it is "partial 16S ribosomal RNA". It matches the Rfam family "Bacterial small subunit ribosomal RNA", at positions 30 to 523 of the family's 1533-position model. The record is from RNAcentral.